GACGAACGCUGGCGGCGUGCUUAACACAUGCAAGUCGAACGGAAAGGCCCUGCUUUUGUGGGGUGCUCGAGUGGCGAACGGGUGAGUAACACGUGAGUAACCUGCCCUUGACUUUGGGAUAACUUCAGGAAACUGGGGCUAAUACCGGAUAGGAGCUCCUGCUGCAUGGUGGGGGUUGGAAAGUUUCGGCGGUUGGGGAUGGACUCGCGGCUUAUCAGCUUGUUGGUGGGGUAGUGGCUUACCAAGGCUUUGACGGGUAGCCGGCCUGAGAGGGUGACCGGCCACAUUGGGACUGAGAUACGGCCCGGACUCCUACAGGAGGCAGCAGUGGGGAAUAUUGCACAAUGGGCGGAAGCCUGAUGCAGCAACGCCGCGUGCGGGAUGACGGCCUUCGGGUUGUAAACCGCUUUCGCCUGUGACGAAGCGUGAGUGACGGUAAUGGGUAAAGAAGCACCGGCUAACUACGUG
Molecule: ribosomal RNA, 468 nt
Filed under: uncultured bacterium
Lineage: Bacteria
Description: partial 16S ribosomal RNA
Rfam family: Bacterial small subunit ribosomal RNA
Source: RNAcentral